RNAcentral lists this long non-coding RNA (570 nucleotides) under Elaeis guineensis (African oil palm). RNAcentral's name for it is "long non-coding RNA (EGUI_LNC057576)". Lineage: Eukaryota; Viridiplantae; Streptophyta; Magnoliopsida; Arecales; Arecaceae. The record is from RNAcentral.
UCCGGUGGACCUAGCAAUUAUUGUCUAUGAUCGUAGGGAGCUGUACCAAGUCCUACCCUAUUAGGUGGGACUCAUAUUGGCAAGCAUGCGGACAUAUAUACGGGGCCCCACCAUAUAUGCGUGAAAACAAUGCAAGCCGAAAACGUUGCUGGGAGUGGGGUUGGGUGCUGCGGUACCACACCUCUGCAGCCUCUUGGCGUUGAGGUAGGCAGCAGCGUGACCUCCCUUCCAUCCAUCCCAAUCCCGGCAGCCAUCCCGGGAGGCACAUUUUCUAUGCAUAAUUUUAUAAAAAAUUGACGUGACGUCUCAGAUAUUGUAGCCAAACAUGCAAGAGAGAGAAUUUAGAAAGAGAGGGAGGAAGAGAUCACAUUCAGGCGAUGCCAGCAAUCUCUCUCUCACUCCUUCCGUCCCUCUCUGUCCUUAGCCUGACGGAGGACACGAAGCUCGAGACAGUGAAAUGACGUUUCGGAUUUCCAUGAAGAGCCACGAUAAAGGACAUGACCAUGAAACGUCGCCCGGGCUGCCAUAGCCUUUCCCGUGGACGUGCUUUAAGGAAAUUAUGAAAAGGCC